AGUGAACGCUGGCGGUAGGCCUAACACAUGCAAGUCGAACGGCAGCACAGUAAGAGCUUGCUCUUACGGGUGGCGAGUGGCGGACGGGUGAGGAAUACAUCGGAAUCUACUUUUUCGUGGGGGAUAACGUAGGGAAACUUACGCUAAUACCGCAUACGACCUACGGGUGAAAGCAGUGGAUCUUCGGACCUUGCGCGAUUGAAUGAGCCGAUGUCGGAUUAGCUAGUUGGCGGGGUAAAGGCCCACCAAGGCGACGAUCCGUAGCUGGUCUGAGAGGAUGGUCCGCCACUCUGGAACUGAGACACGGUCCAGGCUCCUACGGGAGGCAGCAGUGGGGAAUAUUGGACAAUGGGCGCAAGCCUGAUCCAGCCAUGCCGCGUGGGUGAAGAAGGCCUUCGGGUUGUAAAGCCCUUUUGUUGGGAAAGAAAAGCAGCAGGUUAAUACCCCGCUGUUCUGACGGUACCCAAAGAAUAAGCACCGGCUAACUUCGU
This 491-nucleotide ribosomal RNA is filed under the name uncultured bacterium. RNAcentral describes it as "partial 16S ribosomal RNA". It matches the Rfam family "Bacterial small subunit ribosomal RNA", at positions 29 to 506 of the family's 1533-position model. The record is from RNAcentral.